Molecule: ribosomal RNA, 311 nt
Filed under: uncultured bacterium
Lineage: Bacteria
Description: bacterial SSU rRNA
Rfam family: Bacterial small subunit ribosomal RNA
Source: RNAcentral
UAAUACCGCAUAAUACCCACGGGUCAAAGGAGCAAUUCGCUUGAGGAGGAGGUCGCGGCCCGAUUAGUUAGUUGCGGGGUAAUGGCCCCACCAAGACGGUGAUCGGUAUCCGGCCUGAGAGGCGCACGGACACACUGGAACUGAAACACGGUCCAGACUCCUACGGGAGGCAGCAGUGGGGAAUUUUGCGCAAUGGGGGAAACCCUGACGCAGCAACGCCGCGUGGAGGAUGAAGUCUCUUGGGACGUAAACUCCUUUCGAUCGGGACGAUUAUGACGGUACCGGAAGAAGAAGCCCCGGCUAACUUCGUG